AGUAAGCCUCAAUUAGCGGUUAGUGUUUUGGUGGAACAUCUAAGUGGAAAUCCUUGAACUGUGACGCAGAGUUACAUCCGCUGACAGGUAUGAUGGGAAUGAUUGACAGGUGUCUAUCAUUCCCGUUACUGAGAAUUUGGAUGGCAAACGGCGGUUAUGGCAUUAAAAAAACGACAUCCCACUGGGGCAGAAAAUGUUAGAAGAAAACAGAAAGCUAAAGGAUACAGACAUCUUGGAGUAAGAUUGGUUGAGAAGCCUCCAACUUCCCACAACUAAAUUCUGAUGGCGCAGAUAAACCGCUUAUCCCUGUGACGUCCUCUCUGUUUCAAGUGUGCAGCAGCCCUUUUAACUAUUAAAGUCUGGGUUAUUGAGAAACCUCUAACCUCUUAAUUCAAGACUCUCCUAAUUCUGAAAGAAGCCGUCUCUGCAUACCUUA
Molecule: long non-coding RNA, 436 nt
Organism: Girardinichthys multiradiatus
Lineage: Eukaryota; Metazoa; Chordata; Actinopteri; Cyprinodontiformes; Goodeidae
Exons: 3
Source: RefSeq, a predicted model, not a curated record